GUACGGGCAGACUAGAGUGCGGUAGGGGAGAAGGGAAUUCCUGGUGUAGCGGUGGAAUGCGCAGAUAUCAGGAGGAACACCGAUGGCGAAGGCACUUCUCUGGGCCGUAACUGACGCUGAGGAGCGAAAGCGUGGGGAGCGAACAGGAUUAGAUACCCUGGUAGUCCACGCCGUAAACGUUGGGCGCUAGAUGUGGGCACCAUUCCACGGUGUCCGUGUCGCAGCUAACGCAUUAAGCGCCCCGCCUGGGGAGUACGAUCGCAAGAUUAAAACUCAAAGGAAUUGACGGGGCCCCGCACAAGCAGCGGAGCAUGCGGCUUAAUUCGACGCAACGCGAAGAACCUUACCAAGGCUUGACAUAUACAGGAAUAUGGCAGAGAUGUCGUAGCCGCAAGGUCUGUAUACAGGUGGUGCAUGGUUGUCGUCAGCUCGUGUCGUGAGAUGUUGGGUUAAGUCCCGCAACGAGCGCAACCCUCGUUCUGUGUUGCCAGCAUUUAGUUGGGGACUCACAGGAGACUGCCGGGGUUAACUCGGAGGAAGGUGGGGAUGACGUCAAAUCAUCAUGCCCCUUAUGUCUUGGGCUGCACGCAUGCUACAAUGGCUGGUACAAACGGCUGCAAUACCGCAAGGUGGAGCGAAUCCGAGAAAGCCAGUCUCAGUUCGGAUUGGGGUCUGCAACUCGACCCCAUGAAGUCGGAGUUGCUAGUAAUCGUAGAUCAGCAACGCUACGGUGAAUACGUUCCCGGGGCUUGUACACACCGCCCGUCACGUCACGAAAGUCGGUAACACCCAAAGUCAGUGGCCCAACCGUAAGGA
This 816-nucleotide ribosomal RNA is filed under the name uncultured Actinomycetes bacterium. Its description in RNAcentral is "bacterial SSU rRNA". It matches the Rfam family "Bacterial small subunit ribosomal RNA", at positions 630 to 1447 of the family's 1533-position model. The record is from RNAcentral. Lineage: Bacteria; Bacillati; Actinomycetota; Actinomycetes.